RNAcentral lists this long non-coding RNA (1276 nucleotides) under Marmota monax (woodchuck). Lineage: Eukaryota; Metazoa; Chordata; Mammalia; Rodentia; Sciuridae. The record is from RNAcentral.
CUCCCGUCCUGUGCACAAGCAACGGGAGGCACAUCAGUGAUCCCACAGGAGCAAGGCUGUGGCUGCUGUAGAGGAGGUUGCUCUCUGCAGAGGCAGGCUUGGGUUUUUCUUCAUGGGAAAGGGGUGAGUUUGGGCAUCAGACAACCCUCCCUCCAAGCCCUAAAUUAAUCCCUUCAAAGCUUGUGACCUCAAAUAAGUUAAUUUUCUUAUCUAUAAAGUAAAAAUAGUAGCUAGGAGUGGUGGCACCUGCCUGCAAUCCCAGCGGCUGGGGAGGCUGAAGUAGGAGGAUCAUGAGUUCAAAGCCAGCCUCAUCAACUUAGAGAGGCCCGAAGCAACUCAUCAAGAUCCUGUCUCUAAAUAAAGGGGCUGGGAAGGCGGCUCAGUGGUUAAGCAUAGCUGGGUUCAAUCCUCAGUACCAAAAAAAAAAAAAAAAGUAAAAAUAGUAGUGUUUGUGCUUUAAGGGUUUGUGAGAAAUAAAUGAGGUGCUGUGUGCAAGCCCAGCGCCUGGCAUAUACUAACUGCUCAAUAAAUGUCAGUCUUUUCGUUCUUGGCUACGAUUUCAGAAGUGCAGGGAAGGUCCCUCAUAGAUUUCUCUGUCUGCUAGGUGACACCUGGAAUUCCUUCAGAAGAGGGAAACCCCUUCAUUACCCAGCCAGUGAAGGGCUCCAGUGUAAACAGCCUGGGAUGCGAAACAGAGUGGCUGCAGCACACCUCACCAUGUAAUUUGCUGAUGCCAGGGCUUCCGCUCUGGGAGGAUUCGGUAAGAAUAACCCUGUGCCCUGAGCACUUCUGAAAGCGCUGCCCCACCUCUGACCUCAUUUCAUCUCCCCAGCGCCUCUUUGGGGAGAGCAGGGCUCCAGGUUGGCCUCAUUUCACUAAGGAGGGGCUUGUGUUGAGCAGGAAGUAAGUAAGCAGCCAGGUGAGCCAGCUGCCAGCCAGCCCAGAGCGCUGGGCCAAUGCACAGAACAGGAGGGGGACGUCAUUCUAGAAGGGAACGUGGGAAACCCAAAUGAAGAGAAGCUCAGCGCCUCCAGGGGAGGAGGAGCAAGGUGUUGUCCACCCACUGUGUGGGUUUUCAUCACUCUAGGCCUCAGUUUCUUUUUUACAUUUUUUUUUUUAUAAAAUGGCUGUAAUAGUGCCCAUUUUAUAGGGCUCCUAUAAGGAGAAAGAGGAUAAAAAAAAAUAAAGCAGGCCGGGCACGUUGGCGCAGGCGGCUCAGGAGGAUGAGGCAGGAGGAUCACAAAUUCGAGGCCAGCCUCAGCAAUUUAGUGAGAAC